GGCCUGCGCGCUACCUGCAGUCGACGGUAGCACAGAGAGCUUGCUCUCGGGUGACGAGUGGCGGACGGGUGAGUAAUGUCUGGGAAACUGCCUGAUGGAGGGGGAUAACUACUGGAAACGGUAGCUAAUACCGCAUAACGUCGCAAGACCAAAGAGGGGGACCUUCGGGCCUCUUGCCAUCAGAUGUGCCCAGAUGGGAUUAGCUAGUAGGUGGGGUAAUGGCUCACCUAGGCGACGAUCCCUAGCUGGUCUGAGAGGAUGACCAGCCACACUGGAACUGAGACACGGUCCAGACUCCUACGGGAGGCAGCAGUGGGGAAUAUUGCACAAUGGGCGCAAGCCUGAUGCAGCCAUGCCGCGUGUAUGAAGAAGGCCUUCGGGUUGUAAAGUACUUUCAGCGGGGAGGAAGGUGUUGUGGUUAAUAACCGCAGCAAUUGACGUUACCCGCAGAAGAAGCACCGGCUAACUCCGUGCCAGCAGCCGCGGUAAUACGGAGGGUGCAAGCGUUAAUCGGAAUUACUGGGCGUAAAGCGCACGCAGGCGGUCUGUCAAGUCGGAUGUGAAAUCCCCGGGCUCAACCUGGGAACUGCAUUCGAAACU
RNAcentral lists this ribosomal RNA (600 nucleotides) under Enterobacter cloacae. RNAcentral's name for it is "bacterial SSU rRNA". It matches the Rfam family "Bacterial small subunit ribosomal RNA", at positions 41 to 634 of the family's 1533-position model. Lineage: Bacteria; Pseudomonadati; Pseudomonadota; Gammaproteobacteria; Enterobacterales; Enterobacteriaceae. The record is from RNAcentral.